This 520-nucleotide ribosomal RNA is filed under the name Limnonectes kuhlii (Kuhl's wart frog). RNAcentral describes it as "partial 16S ribosomal RNA". It matches the Rfam family "Bacterial large subunit ribosomal RNA", at positions 1921 to 2610 of the family's 2925-position model. Lineage: Eukaryota; Metazoa; Chordata; Amphibia; Anura; Dicroglossidae. The record is from RNAcentral.
AAUUUAACGGCCGCGGUACCCUGACCGUGCAAAGGUAGCAUAAUCACUUGUUCUCUAAAUAAGGACUAGUAUCAACGGCAUCACGAGGGUUAUACUGUCUCCUCUUUUUAAUCAGUGAAACUGACCUCUCCGUGAAGAGGCGGGGAUAGUUAUACAAGACGAGAAGACCCCAUGGAGCUUUAAACCCAAUGACAGCCCACACAAGUUUUACCCUAAAAUGAACAAAGCAAUGUUUAUUGGUUUUAGGUUGGGGUGACCACGGAGAAAAACCAAACCUCCACGAUGAAUGGACCUUAAUCCUAAUCUACGAGAUACUACUCCAAGAAUCAAUAAUUUGACAUAAUAUGAUCCGACAACGAUCAACGAACCAAGUUACCCUGGGGAUAACAGCGCAAUCCAUUUCAAGAGCCCCUAUCGACAAAUGGGUUUACGACCUCGAUGUUGGAUCAGGGUAUCCUAGUGGUGCAGCCGCUACUAAAGGUUUGUUUGUUCAACAAUUAAAACCCUACGUGAUCUGAGU